This 495-nucleotide ribosomal RNA is filed under the name uncultured bacterium. RNAcentral's name for it is "partial 16S ribosomal RNA". It matches the Rfam family "Bacterial small subunit ribosomal RNA", at positions 28 to 507 of the family's 1533-position model. The record is from RNAcentral.
GACGAAUGCUGGCGGCGUGCCUAAUACAUGCAAGUAGAACGCUGAAGGAGGAGCUUGCUCUUCUGGAUGAGUUGCGAACGGGUGAGUAACGCGUAGGUAACCUGCCUGGUAGCGGGGGAUAACUAUUGGAAACGAUAGCUAAUACCGCAUAACAGUAGAUGUUGCAUGACAUUUACUUAAAAGGUGCAAUUGCAUCACUACCAGAUGGACCUGCGUUGUAUUAGCUAGUUGGUGGGGUAACGGCUCACCAAGGCGACGAUACAUAGCCGACCUGAGAGGGUGAUCGGCCACACUGGGACUGAGACACGGCCCAGACUCCUACGGGAGGCAGCAGUAGGGAAUCUUCGGCAAUGGACGGAAGUCUGACCGAGCAACGCCGCGUGAGUGAAGAAGGUUUUCGGAUCGUAAAGCUCUGUUGUAAGAGAAGAACGAGUGUGAGAGUGGAAAGUUCACACUGUGACGGUAUCUUACCAGAAAGGGACGGCUAACUACGUG